This 251-nucleotide ribosomal RNA is filed under the name uncultured bacterium. RNAcentral's name for it is "partial 16S ribosomal RNA". It matches the Rfam family "Bacterial small subunit ribosomal RNA", at positions 524 to 777 of the family's 1533-position model. The record is from RNAcentral.
UACGGGGGAGCAAGCGUUGUUCGGAUUUACUGGCGUAAAGGGCGCGUAGGCGGUCGUGACAAGUCACUUGUGAAAUCUCCGGGCUUACUCGGAACGGUCAAGUGAUACUGUCGUGCUAGAGUACAGAAGGGGCACUGGAAUUCUCGGUGUAGCGGUGAAAUGCGUAGAUAUCGAGAGGAACACCUGCGCGAAGGCGGUUGCUGGGCUGAUACUGACGCUGAGGCGCGAAAGCUAGGGGGGAGCGAAACGGG